AGCAGCCGCGGUAAUUCCAGCUCCAAUAGCGUAUAUUAAAGUUGUUGCAGUUAAAAAGCUCGUAGUUGAAUUUCGGGGUCAGUGAGUUGGUCGUGCCACUGGUAUGCACUGGCUUUACUGAUUCCUCCUUCUUGAAGAACUGUAAUGCUAUUAAUUUAGUGUUGCAGGGAAACAGGACUGUUACUUUGAAAAAAUUAGAGUGUUUAAAGCAGGCUAACGCUUGAAUACAUUAGCAUGGAAUAAUGAAAUAGGACGUUUGAUCCUAUUUUGUUGGUUUCUAGGAUUGACGUAAUGAUUAAUAGGGAUAGUUGGGGGCAUUAGUAUUCAAUUGUCAGAGGUGAAAUUCUUGGAUUUAUUGAAGACUAACUACUGCGAAAGCAUUUGCCAAGGAUGUUUUCAUUAAUCAAGAACGAAAGUUAGGGGAUCGAAGACGAUCAGAUACCGUCGUAG
RNAcentral lists this ribosomal RNA (450 nucleotides) under uncultured Glomeromycotina. Its description in RNAcentral is "SSU rRNA". It matches the Rfam family "Eukaryotic small subunit ribosomal RNA", at positions 569 to 1023 of the family's 1831-position model. Lineage: Eukaryota; Fungi; Glomeromycota. The record is from RNAcentral.